RNAcentral lists this ribosomal RNA (497 nucleotides) under uncultured bacterium. RNAcentral's name for it is "partial 16S ribosomal RNA". It matches the Rfam family "Bacterial small subunit ribosomal RNA", at positions 28 to 507 of the family's 1533-position model. The record is from RNAcentral.
GAUGAACGCUGGCGGCGUGCCUAAUACAUGCAAGUCGAGCGAACGGACGAGAAGCUUGCUUCUCUGAUGUUAGCGGCGGACGGGUGAGUAACACGUGGAUAACCUACCUAUAAGACUGGGAUAACUUCGGGAAACCGGAGCUAAUACCGGAUAAUAUUUUGAACCGCAUGGUUCAAAAGUGAAAGACGGUCUUGCUGUCACUUAUAGAUGGAUCCGCGCUGCAUUAGCUAGUUGGUAAGGUAACGGCUUACCAAGGAAACGAUGCAUAGCCGACCUGAGAGGGUGAUCGGCCACACUGGAACUGAGACACGGUCCAGACUCCUACGGGAGGCAGCAGUAGGGAAUCUUCCGCAAUGGGCGAAAGCCUGACGGAGCAACGCCGCGUGAGUGAUGAAGGUCUUCGGAUCGUAAAACUCUGUUAUUAGGGAAGAACAUAUGUGUAAGUAACUGUGCACAUCUUGACGGUACCUAAUCAGAAAGCCACGGCUAACUACGUG